AACAUUCUGGAAAGUAUAGCCAUAGAGGGUGAUAGUCCCGUAUGCGAAAAACAAACCUUAGCUAGCAGUAUCCUGAGUAGGGCGGGACACGAGAAAUCCUGUCUGAAGCUGGGUCGACCACGAUCCAACCCUAAAUACUAAUACCAGAUCGAUAGUGCACAAGUACCGUGAGGGAAAGGUGAAAAGAACUGAGGUGAUCAGAGUGAAAUAGAACCUGAAACCAUUUGCUUACAAUCAUUCAGAGCCCUAUGUAGCAAUACAGGGUGAUGGACUGCCUUUUGCAUAAUGAGCCUGCGAGUUGUGGUGUCUGGCAAGGUUAAGCAAACGCGAAGCCGUAGCGAAAGCGAGUCUGAAUAGGGCGCUUAGUCAGAUGCUGCAGACCCGAAACGAAGUGAUCUAUCCAUGAGCAAGUUGAAGCUAGUGUAAGAACUAGUGGAGGACUGAACCCAUAGGCGUUGAAAAGCCCCGGGAUGACUUGUGGAUAGGGGUGAAAGGCCAAUCAAACUUCGUGAUAGCUGGUUCUCUCCGAAAUAUAUUUAGGUAUAGCGUUGUGUCGUAAUAUAAGGGGGUAGAGCACUGAAUGGGCUAGGGCAUACACCAAUGUACCAAACCCUAUCAAACUCCGAAUACCUUAUAUGUAAUCACAGCAGUCAGGCGGCGAGUGAUAAAAUCCGUCGUCAAGAGGGAAACAACCCAGACUACCAGCUAAGGUCCCUAAAUCUUACUUAAGUGGAAAACGAUGUGAAGUUACUUAAACAACCAGGAGGUUGGCUUAGAAGCAGCCAUCCUUUAAAGAAAGCGUAAUAGCUCACUGGUCUAGUGAUUUUGCGCGGAAAAUAUAACGGGGCUAAAGUAAGUACCGAAGCUGUAGA
This 872-nucleotide ribosomal RNA is filed under the name Salmonella enterica subsp. enterica serovar Infantis. RNAcentral's name for it is "partial 23S ribosomal RNA". It matches the Rfam family "Bacterial large subunit ribosomal RNA", at positions 336 to 1206 of the family's 2925-position model. Lineage: Bacteria; Pseudomonadati; Pseudomonadota; Gammaproteobacteria; Enterobacterales; Enterobacteriaceae. The record is from RNAcentral.